AGAUUAGUGUUUAAUCAUAUAAAUUAGUAUUUUAUUUUGCUAUUAUUCCAAGAAUAUGCUACAUCCAUAAAAAUUGGCCGAAUAGGCGCUGGACGAGCACCGUAAUUUUAAAUUAAAUUAAUCGUUUUAAAAUUCGCGUUGAGAAUCAGUUUUGUAUCACGCUGAUUGUGGCGUUGAGAUCAAAGAUAAAUGUUGCAUUCCUCCUAUGUAUGGUGUAGUCUAUGAUGCUUCCCUUUCCCUUCCAAUUUAGGGUGCAUUCAAUUUUACGUACGAUACAUCACUUAUCCUUAUUGUUCACUGAACAUUAAACAAGGAUAAAUGAUGCAUUAUGCGCGAAACGGACCCCUAAACAAUUGUCUUCUCCUCGACGCUUGCGGCCUAAUGCGGGAUUUACAAUGCAGUCACGAUGCUGCGAUGGACCAAUCGGAAGAAAAAAUUUUAUAUUCUCUUCUUUGAUUCGUCUGUUGCAGCAUCACAGCGUCGUAACGACUGCAUUGUAGACCCUGCGCAAAAGUCCGAAAAGUCUCGCCGAGACUGCGAGCGUGUUCAGAUGUGUUUUGCGAGGAUACGUCGGCAACCCCUGAAAAAUCUUUCUAAACAAAGCACAUCCGAACCAGCUCACGGUCGAUUGUUAUUGUAAAUUCGAUUUUACAUUCCAAGUUUGAUUUUGUAUUCUAAAGUUUCAAAUGUGCGACGGUUUUUGAUCGUCCUCAGUACCUCGCAAGGGAACGGAAACCAGCUGAGCCUGAAAUCGAUUGCAUGUUUUUUUUGGAGCACGUGGUUGCCAUGUCUCGAGUAAAACAGAAUCUUGAAAUUAAAUAAAGAUGCUUGAUUUUCCAGUUGCUUUCCAAUACUCUCGAGUGCUCGUCAUAUGCCUGGCAAACGAAUGUGAUUAUCAUUCGUAUACGUCACCUAUAGACCCAAUGAGGUUUCUACAAUAAGCUAUUAGUCAGUGUCACAAGUCGUAAGCCGUAAAAAUUGAUCAAUCACAGUCGAAUAUUCUCUUCACAUUCGCCAUCGACUAAUAGCUUAUUGUAGAAAGUUCAUAAGAGUUAUUCUGUGAUUCUCGUUGAAGAUUACGAAUUUAAAAAUACUUAUAUACGGUGUACAGGUUGUAUGAGUUGUGACCUUCUAACUAUGUGAUUUUUUAUUAUAAGGAAAAGUUUCAAUAAAAAUAUUACGAACUUUUAAA
Molecule: long non-coding RNA, 1192 nt
Organism: Solenopsis invicta (red fire ant)
Lineage: Eukaryota; Metazoa; Arthropoda; Insecta; Hymenoptera; Formicidae
Exons: 3
Source: RefSeq, a predicted model, not a curated record